Small nucleolar RNA from Beta vulgaris subsp. vulgaris (sugar beet), 125 nucleotides. Lineage: Eukaryota; Viridiplantae; Streptophyta; Magnoliopsida; Caryophyllales; Amaranthaceae. The record is from Rfam.
ACCAAUUCUGUAGGAGAAUAAUUGUUCCUUAUGGCUAAAUGGCUUGGAUGCUAAAAAAAUUGUGGUUUAUCCUGAUCAUUGACUUGUGUCUGUGUCUGUUGAUCCUGGAAAGGCUUCAUACAUUU